Molecule: ribosomal RNA, 243 nt
Filed under: uncultured bacterium
Lineage: Bacteria
Description: partial 16S ribosomal RNA
Rfam family: Bacterial small subunit ribosomal RNA
Source: RNAcentral
UUGAACGCUGGCGGCAUGCCUUACACAUGCAAGUCGAACGGUAGAGGGGCAACCCUUGAGAGUGGCGAACGGGUGAGUAAUAUAUCGGAACGUGCCCAGUCGUGGGGGAUAACGCAGCGAAAGCUGCGCUAAUACCGCAUACGAUCUAUGGAUGAAAGCGGGGGAUCGCAAGACCUCGCGCGAUUGGAGCGGCCGAUAUCAGAUUAGGUAGUUGGUGGGGUAAAAGCCCACCAAGCCGACGAU